This 253-nucleotide ribosomal RNA is filed under the name uncultured bacterium. RNAcentral describes it as "partial 16S ribosomal RNA". It matches the Rfam family "Bacterial small subunit ribosomal RNA", at positions 524 to 776 of the family's 1533-position model. The record is from RNAcentral.
UACGUAGGGUGCGAGCGUUGUCCGGAAUUAUUGGGCGUAAAGAGCUUGUAGGCGGUUUGUCGCGUCUGCUGUGAAAAUCCGGGGCUCAACCCCGGACUUGCAGUGGGUACGGGCAGGCUAGAGUGUGGUAGGGGAGACUGGAAUUCCUGGUGUAGCGGUGGAAUGCGCAGAUAUCAGGAGGAACACCAAUGGCGAAGGCAGAUCUCUGGGCCGUAACUGACGCUGAGGAGCGAAAGCAUGGGGAGCGAACCGG